RNAcentral lists this long non-coding RNA (3155 nucleotides) under Taeniopygia guttata (zebra finch). RNAcentral's name for it is "lncRNA (ENSTGUG00000027971.1)". Lineage: Eukaryota; Metazoa; Chordata; Aves; Passeriformes; Estrildidae. The record is from RNAcentral.
GAGAAGCGGCGGCUGCCCGAGUCUCGCGAGAGCCGGCGGUGCCGCCGCCGCCAUGGAGCCGCCGGUGCGCGGCCCGCCGGGGCUGUCGGCCGUGCUGGCGAGCACGGACUGGUCGGAGCCCUGGCUGCUGGGGCUGGCGGCUUUCCACCUGCUCUGCUUCCUGCUGACGUGCGCGUCCCUGCAGCACCGCCGGGUGCAGGUCGGGCACUUCCUCUGCAUGGGUGAGUGCGCGGGCACCGGAGCAGUGCCUGCAGCUUCUCCGCUGGCAGGUGGGCUUAGUGUACUGCGCUGAAUAUAUCAAUGAAUUAGCAGCCAUGAAUUGGAGGCUCUUUUCUAAGUAUCAAUACUUUGAUUCAAGAGGAAUGUUUAUUUCACUUGUAUUUUCAGCACCACUGCUGGUGAAUACUAUUAUAAUUGUGGUCACCUGGGUUUACGGAACUUUGAAUGUAAUGACUGAACUAAAAAUGCUACAGCAGAGAAGGAAAGCAGAAAAAGAGAAAAAGAAGUGAAAGCGCCAAACAAUAUUUUUCUUUCUUCAGUUGCAAUAAUGCCUGUCUGGGUAAUCAGUCCUUCUGUAUGGGUAUGCAGGAACAGAAUUAUUUUUGUGUCUGAAUUCAAGAGCACUUUGUAACCGUGGCUGUGGACAUUGAGGUGAAAGCAGGUAUCUACAGUACAUUUGAAUUGGCUGUGAAAUUAUGAAACCAGUCCUAACAGGUCUUUGUGCCCUUCAGCGUAUGAUUGUUUUCCUCCAUGACCAAGGCUAUUAGUAUUGAUGAGACACAAUCUUCCAGUUCCCAUUUGCCUGUGUAUUUUUUUACUAUGCCUUUAUUCUGUGCUUAUCAAUAUCAGUUAUUCUGCUGCUUUAGCCAAUUGGAGCUGUGUUGUGAAUUACAGUAAAUGAGAGAUUUUAUUCAGAAUAACUCAGGAAUCCAUGCUUCUGUGAAGCACUUCAGUUCUUUAUAAAUCAAGGUUCAUACUUCCUAUGUGUACUGUGUGCCAGUGGCAUUUUAUAAAUAAAACUAUCCACUCACUGUAUCUUAAAUUGAGUUAAUUUGUCUUCAUUUUUAAUCAGACUUUUUCCUUCUUGUUUUCCCAUAAAAAUUUUUGGCAAAUUCCCCAGUUUAAUGCGUGUAAAUAAUUCAAAAUGAUCUCUGCAUUUCUGUCAAUUUAUACUUCAUGUUUUUAAGGCUUCUAGAUAAAACCAUUUUUAUAAAACUGGAUGAAAAUUUGAUUGUUUUAUUCUUCUUUGUAGAACAGAAAGGAAGGGAAGAAACUUAGUAAUGUUACAUGCAGUUUUGUUCUCUUUUUAAUGCUUUUUAAAAUAAAUAACAAAAUUAAAAGUAGGUAAUAAUGAAGAAGGCUUUAGUUUUGCUUCAAAUAGCCUGCUUUCAUUAAGGUAAUUUGAGAAGGGGUGUGGACACAAUGGAGACUGCCCAUAUUUAGCAAAAGUUGUAUCUUUGUGUGGAGAUGCACACUUCUGUUCUAAAAUAGGUGUCAUUUAAGACAGGAAAGAUGAUCUACAAAACUGAUGUUACACUAAUGGGAAAAACAUUUGGGUACAGAAUUGCAGAACACUAGUAAGUUUAUAAGCUAAGGAAGUAUUUGUGAAACUGAUUUUAAUUACUUGAAUAGUCUUCACAAGAGAGGAGACAGGGACGCAAGGAAGAGAGCAGCUGCAUGUCAUACAGGGUUUGCAAGUCUCCUAAACAGGGAGAAAGUGAAACUCCUGCUGAAAGGGCAAUGAAGUGUUAGUGUUGGAUCCAUUUCUUUACCUUUCCCAUGCCUCUUAGGCAUUCCUUUAUCCAUUCAUAGCUUCAUCCAGAGCUACUGGCAGCUAGACUGUUUUAUAUUAGCAAACUAAAUAGAUGGAGGUUUGUGUGUUGUGCCAUUCUGACCAUUCUGCUGUGACUCUUGGUGCAGUGUUGGGUGGUGCCGACAGUAUGGAGAAAUCUCAAGUAGUCUUGUACAUAACGUGUGCUUUUUGGGAGGGAGUGAAGAGAGUCUAUCCAAAAGGCUGCCAGGUGGACUUUGGCAGCUGUCACCAGAACCAAAGAACAGACCUUUUUGAUUUCAUAGACACAGGAUGUUGUCCUGUCAGGCUGGUUUAUAAAAGUUCAGCCUUGCUCUGCGGGUGGCUUGCUGUAGCUUCCCCAGGCAGGUGCUGUCGGAGUGCCUGCAGCACCCGGAGCAACCCCAUGGUGGUCUGCAGUGACAACUUCCCCAGCCCACCAGACGCCCGAGCCCGGAUGCUGUACUUGUUGCCACAGCAGAAGAAAAAAGAGAGUCCUCUGCUCGGCAAGGUCCAGUAGGGUUUAUUCAGGAACAGUUGGAGGGCAGCAGGUAGGCAGGGUAGACACAGGAGCAGGGAGAGCAGGCUACUACUCAGCAGGCUACUACAGACAGCCACUCCUGAAAGGCACCAGGAGCAAGGGCGGGGCUGCGGUAUAUAACAGAAAGGAUGUAGGAGGGGUUGGAGUACAACUGGACCAAUGGGGAGAGAAGCCAGGGGAGGAGUUGGAGUGAGUGAUUGGGACUCGGCCAAUGGGGAAGUGUUGUUUCAGGGAGAGCCAAAGAGGAAACAGGGUACAGAACUUUCUGGAACUGGGGAGUACAUAACUGGGGACUGACAGCACAACAUUUGCUUUAACAACAAAGGGUGGUGGGGAAUUGUAUCAGUGCCUCACCAUAAGUUAGACAAUGGUGUUCUCCCAAGGCAUUCUGACCCUGUCCUCCCCAUAAGCAUCUCCCACAUUGCUCCUACAAUUUGAUGGAAAGAGUUGCAAUUUUAACACACAGCCCUAAGCACGACUGCUCAAAUGUUGUGCUCCUGACUUUGCUGUUGAUAACUGUUCCGCAAAAAUCAGCGCACAGUUGUUUUAGUAUCACACACUUGAAGCUGUAAUACUUCAUAUGGAGAUACCACCUGUUAUCAAGUAACCUUUGUUUCACAGUGUGAUGUGUAUGAAUUUGAUUCACAGUAAGUGAGGAGGUUCAGAGCAGCUGACUAACGAGUCUUGCAGUGGAAAACAGUGUGCCUUAUUUAGUACAUCCAAGGCAAAUUUUCUCCAAAUAGUUUCCUAUUUUGCCUUUCUUGUGUGUGAUGUCAGUAAAAAGAUGAAUAAUACUUGGUUUCAAAAGCACGAUGGCAUUUUUUG